GACGAACGCUGGCGGCGUGCUUAACACAUGCAAGUCGAACGGUGAAGGGACCGGUUUUUGCUGGUUCUGGAUGAGUGGCGAACGGGUGAGUCACACGUGAGUCACCUGCCCCCUUCUUCUGGAUAACCGCAUGAAAGUGUGGCUAAUACGGGAUAUUCUGCGCCUGCUGCAUGGUGGGUGUGGGAAAGAUAUUGUUUCGGUGGGGGAUGGGCUCGCGGCCUAUCAGCUUGUUGGUGGGGCGAUGGCCUACCAAGGCGGUGACGGGUAGCCGGCCUGAGAGGGUGGACGGUCACACUGGGACUGAGACACGGACCAGACUCCUACGGGAGGCAGCAGGGGGGAAUAUUGAACAAUGGGAGCAAGCCUGAUGCAGCGACGCCGCGUGAGGGAUGGAGGCCGUCGGGUUGUAAACCUCUUUCGCCAGUGAAGCAGGCCUGUCCCUUUUGUGGGUGGGUUGACGGUAGCUGGAUAAGAAGCGCCGGCUAACUACGUG
RNAcentral lists this ribosomal RNA (493 nucleotides) under uncultured bacterium. RNAcentral's name for it is "partial 16S ribosomal RNA". It matches the Rfam family "Bacterial small subunit ribosomal RNA", at positions 28 to 507 of the family's 1533-position model. The record is from RNAcentral.